AUGAACGCUGGCGGCGUGCCUAAUACAUGCAAGUCGAGCGAACAGAUGAGGAGCUUGCUCCUCUGACGUUAGCGGCGGACGGGUGAGUAACACGUGGAUAACCUACCUAUAAGACUGGGAUAACUUCGGGAAACCGGAGCUAAUACCGGAUAAUAUAUUGAACCGCAUGGUUCAAUAGUGAAAGACGGUUUUGCUGUCACUUAUAGCUGGAUCCGCGCCGGAUUAGCUAGUUGGUAAGGUAACGGCUUACCAAGGCAACGAUGCGUAGCCGACCUGAGAGGGUGAUCGGCCACACUGGAACUGAGACACGGUCCAGACUCCUACGGGAGGCAGCAGUAGGGAAUCUUACGCAAUGGGCGAAAGCCUGACGGAGCAACGCCGCGUGAGUGAUGAAGGUCUUCGGAUCGUAAAACUCUGUUAUUAGGGAAGAACAAAUGUGUAAGUAACUAUGCACGUCUUGACGGUACCUAAUCAGAAAGCCACGGCUAACUACGUG
Molecule: ribosomal RNA, 496 nt
Filed under: uncultured bacterium
Lineage: Bacteria
Description: partial 16S ribosomal RNA
Rfam family: Bacterial small subunit ribosomal RNA
Source: RNAcentral